RNAcentral lists this transfer RNA (76 nucleotides) under Yarrowia lipolytica. Its description in RNAcentral is "tRNA-Leu". The record is from RNAcentral. Lineage: Eukaryota; Fungi; Ascomycota; Dipodascomycetes; Dipodascales.
UCGUAUCUGGCCGAGUGGUCUAAGGCGCUAGCUCAAGUCUUCGGAGGAGAGAGUUCGAAUCUCUCGGCUGUACGAU